Molecule: small RNA, 110 nt
Filed under: Modicisalibacter ilicicola DSM 19980
Lineage: Bacteria; Pseudomonadati; Pseudomonadota; Gammaproteobacteria; Oceanospirillales; Halomonadaceae
Description: Halomonas ilicicola DSM 19980 t44 RNA
Rfam family: t44 RNA
About the family: This family consists of a number of bacterial RNA genes of between 135 and 170 bases in length. The t44 gene is found between the map and rpsB genes in all species in the full alignment apart from Shigella flexneri. The function of this RNA is unknown.
Source: Rfam by way of RNAcentral
CUUAAAUGCCUUGAAAACACACAUGCACCGUCACAUGGUCCCGGGUGCCGCGGGAAGGCCUUGCGAGGCCCAAUCAGCGGUCGGAUCCAUGGGGUGCGUGGAGGCCUAAC